CUCAGCAGAAAUAAAAGAAAAGAAAAGGCAAAACUGAACUUCCCAUAAACCCAAAUCCCAUAUAGCACAGCUUUCUACAAGACCAUAAUUAAAUAAUCCCUGAAGGACUUGUGGAGGAGGGGAUAAGAAUACAUAAACUUUCCAAUAUGAUGAAAGAAAAGACCCUGUUAUUAUUAUUGGAUUUUAUUUUUAAGAAGGAAAAAACUAAAACCAACUUACUUAAGGUGGUAUACAUGGGAAAAUUAUUCCAUGCUGGGCAAGUAUCCAUAUAAGUCAGUCCUGAUACUCAAUAAAACAGAAAUUAAAAGAUGUCUUUGAAAUUGGAAGUCUGCAAGUAGAUUGUGGCAUUGUUUUUAAAAGUGCACAGAUUCAGCACCAGACAAAGGCCUUCAGCUCUGCAUCUGGACUAUUACAUUUGUUCCCAAGCAUUUAUUUAACAUUUUUUUCUUCUAGUUCAAGAUCUGAGAUGAGAGAAGCUUCUAGCAGAAAAUCUGUUUUACAGGAAGUUCUUUACUAAAUGGGAGCCUUCUUUGUUAAACAGAGGAGUCACAUACCUGUCCAAGGCCACCCAUGUAGACAGGCAAAUAGGUAGAAAGAGUGACCAGAAAAGGUAAGGAUUUCUUGUCAUCAUUUUACCUUAUCAAAUUAAAAAGCAAACUAUUGGUAUAACAUGUAAUUGUGAGAUUUGUAAAUUCUCUUUGGUCAUAUUUCUUCAGGAGGGUUCACUUUUAGUGAAAUGGUUUUCCUCAGACAGAAAAAUACCUCAUUGGGAAAACAUCUCUCAGACUGUUACAAACUAAAAUAUUGAUAGAGUCUCCGGUCUGCUAACUCUCCAACCAUGGGAAUCACCCUGCCUCACACCAGUGACACUGAAGUACCUGAGUUUCUCUAAAUAGUAGAAACCAUUAGGACAUCUGGGAAAGCCUAUGAGACAGCUGAAGAGACAAACAAGGCUCACACUUUCCUCUUUCUUCCCUCUGAUGCAGUGCAACAGAAUCCAAGGAAGAUCAUCCAGAAUCAACCCAGUAAAAAGAAUUGUCAUAAAAUCUCACACCAUUGACUUGUAA
Molecule: long non-coding RNA, 1067 nt
Filed under: Zonotrichia albicollis (white-throated sparrow)
Lineage: Eukaryota; Metazoa; Chordata; Aves; Passeriformes; Passerellidae
Description: lncRNA (ENSZALG00000001319.1)
Source: RNAcentral